UCCACAGAGCCGGGACCGAGCGAGCCGGCGAGCGACCGCGGUAAAGGUAUCGCGCCUUAGUCAGAGGCCACCAAUGUUGGGUUACAUUUUGUAGUAAAGUACCUUAUGAUCAUCUUUUGGUACUUGAUGAUUAGUGAUGUAAAGAAAAGAAUGUAAAGCUCAUUUUGAGGUAAAUGUGAUGUAAGAAAGAAAUGAUGCAAUUAUGUAAUGAAAUGCAGAGAAUUCUAAAGGUAAGAGAUGGAUGCAAUGUAUAUGAUCUAAAAUGAAUCAU
RNAcentral lists this long non-coding RNA (271 nucleotides) under Ananas comosus (pineapple). RNAcentral's name for it is "long non-coding RNA (ACOM_LNC039814)". The record is from RNAcentral. Lineage: Eukaryota; Viridiplantae; Streptophyta; Magnoliopsida; Poales; Bromeliaceae.